Molecule: ribosomal RNA, 527 nt
Filed under: uncultured bacterium
Lineage: Bacteria
Description: bacterial SSU rRNA
Rfam family: Bacterial small subunit ribosomal RNA
Source: RNAcentral
AGAGUUUGAUCCUGGCUCAGAUUGAACGCUGGCGGCAUGCCUUACACAUGCAAGUCGAACGGCAGCAUGAUCUAGCUUGCUAGAUUGAUGGCGAGUGGCGAACGGGUGAGUAAUACAUCGGAACGUGCCCUGUAGUGGGGGAUAACUAGUCGAAAGAUUAGCUAAUACCGCAUACGACCUGAGGGUGAAAGUGGGGGACCGCAAGGCCUCAUGCUAUAGGAGCGGCCGAUGUCUGAUUAGCUAGUCGGUGAGGUAAAGGCUCACCAAGGCGACGAUCAGUAGCUGGUCUGAGAGGACGAUCAGCCACACUGGGACUGAGACACGGCCCAGACUCCUACGGGAGGCAGCAGUGGGGAAUUUUGGACAAUGGGCGAAAGCCUGAUCCAGCAAUGCCGCGUGUGUGAAGAAGGCCUUCGGGUUGUAAAGCACUUUUGUCCGGAAAGAAAUGGCUCUGGUUAAUACCUGGGGUCGAUGACGGUACCGGAAGAAUAAGGACCGGCUAACUACGUGCCAGCAGCCGCGGUAAU